Molecule: ribosomal RNA, 537 nt
Filed under: uncultured Pseudomonas sp.
Lineage: Bacteria; Pseudomonadati; Pseudomonadota; Gammaproteobacteria; Pseudomonadales; Pseudomonadaceae
Description: bacterial SSU rRNA
Rfam family: Bacterial small subunit ribosomal RNA
Source: RNAcentral
CUCUUGAGAGCGGCGGACGGGUGAGUAAUACCUGGGAAUCUGCCUGAUAGUGGGGGAUAACGUUCGGAAACGGACGCUAAUACCGCAUACGUCCUACGGGAGAAAGCAGGGGAUCUUCGGACCUUGCGCUAUCAGAUGAGCCCAGGUCGGAUUAGCUAGUUGGUGGGGUAAAGGCUCACCAAGGCGACGAUCCGUAACUGGUCUGAGAGGAUGAUCAGUCACACUGGAACUGAGACACGGUCCAGACUCCUACGGGAGGCAGCAGUGGGGAAUAUUGGACAAUGGGCGAAAGCCUGAUCCAGCCAUGCCGCGUGUGUGAAGAAGGUCUUCGGAUUGUAAAGCACUUUAAGUUGGGAGGAAGGGCUGAUGCUUAAUACGUAUCAGUCUUGACGUUACCGACAGAAUAAGCACCGGCUAACUCUGUGCCAGCAGCCGCGGUAAUACAGAGGGUGCAAGCGUUAAUCGGAAUUACUGGGCGUAAAGCGCGCGUAGGUGGUUUGUUAAGUUGGAUGUGAAAUCCCCGGGCUCAACCUGGGA